This 325-nucleotide ribosomal RNA is filed under the name uncultured bacterium. RNAcentral describes it as "bacterial SSU rRNA". It matches the Rfam family "Bacterial small subunit ribosomal RNA", at positions 390 to 706 of the family's 1533-position model. The record is from RNAcentral.
AGCACCUGCCGCGUGUGUGAUGAAGGCUUUAGGGUCGUAAAGCACUGUUGUAUGGGAAGAAAUGCUAGAAUAGGGAAUGAUUCUAGUUCGACGGUACCAUACCAAAAAGGGACGGCUAAAUACGUGCCAGCAGCCGCGGUAAUACGUAUGUCCCGAGCGUUAUCCGGAUUUAUUGGGCGUAAAGCGAGCGCAGACGGUUGAUUAAGUCUGAUGUGAAAGCCCGGAGCUCAACUCCGGAAUGGCAUUGGAAACUGGUUAACUUGAGUGUUGUAGAGGUAAGUGGAACUCCAUGUGUAGCGGUGGAAUGCGUAGAUAUAUGGAAGAA